UAAAUUUAUACUAAAUUUUUACAUCGACAACCAACAAAAUCCUGAAUCCAUAUACUUCUCCUAACUUUCGACCAAGUAAAGAGACUAAUUAGAAUACGGUCCAAAAUCAUAAUUAAAUCUAUCCAUUUAGCUUAAAAAUUAUUCUAACAUAAGGCUUACAUUUCUAAAUGUAAAUAUGAUGUAUGUUCACGAGACAUAAGACUUUAAAAAAAAUCAUUUCUUGAUAAAAUGCUUAUCACUUGAGUCCUCAAAUUUUACGUAUUCCAAACUUACCCUCAAGGUAUUUUUAGUCUAAAACAUGUUUAAACCAAAGAUAGGCUUACUUUAU
Molecule: long non-coding RNA, 328 nt
Filed under: Cicer arietinum (chickpea)
Lineage: Eukaryota; Viridiplantae; Streptophyta; Magnoliopsida; Fabales; Fabaceae
Description: long non-coding RNA (CARI_LNC002958)
Source: RNAcentral